UUUACUUAGUGGCGCACGGGUGAGUAACACGUAGGCAACCUGUCCUUAAGAGGGGGAUAACUCAGGGAAACUUGAGCUAAUACCGCAUAAGACCACGAACUGGGAUGUUAGUGGUAAAAGGUCGAUUUGAAAGAGUUGGCUGUUUAAGGAGGGGCUUGCGGCCUAUCAGGUAGUUGGUGAGGUAAUGGCUCACCAAGCCUAAGACGGGUAGCCGGUCUGAGAGGACGGACGGCCACACUGGGACUGAGACACGGCCCAGACUCCUACGGGAGGCAGCAGUGGGGAAUCUUCCGCAAUGGGCGAAAGCCUGACGGAGCGACACCGCGUGGGGGACGAAGGUCUUCGG
Molecule: ribosomal RNA, 346 nt
Filed under: uncultured Bacillota bacterium
Lineage: Bacteria; Bacillati; Bacillota
Description: bacterial SSU rRNA
Rfam family: Bacterial small subunit ribosomal RNA
Source: RNAcentral